Molecule: non-coding RNA, 929 nt
Organism: Punica granatum (pomegranate)
Lineage: Eukaryota; Viridiplantae; Streptophyta; Magnoliopsida; Myrtales; Lythraceae
Source: RefSeq, a predicted model, not a curated record
CUUUCCUUUGGACCGGUACUUCGCCAUCCACUACACGGGGCAGUGCACUGGAAAAAGGGCCCAAAAGUUUUUUGUGUUCUUGUCUCAAACAAGCUAAUGAAGCGGCAGCUGCAGCGGCAGCAGAACAAUAGAAGAUGGCGACGGUGCUCCGGACUCCGGAGCUUCUGCCUCCCUCUUCGGCCAGAGAAUCAUUAGUUAUUGUGGUGUGACAGAUAAUGUUUUAGGAAACCUUCGACCGGGGUCUGUACUCGGGGGAACAAAGGUCCAGAUAUUUAAGCAGAGGUCCUAUCCCGCGGUGCAUUAAACACGCCAGAAGUUCAAAGACGCAGGGGGAACUGAUGAGAUCAAAACCAUAGUACUGAUAAGUGAUAAGCACGGAGGAAUCUCUCAUUUGGUGAAGAGAUUCAGCCCUACUUCAAUUCUCGUCCCUGGCAUCUCCAAGGUUGCUGAUGUUAUUACUGGUAAUUCUUGGGAGCGGAGAUGCACAAGGCUUAUUGGAAUGCCCACAAAUUGCCAAGCUGCUGAAAGAAUUAUCCCUGAUAAUGCUGCUGCAGACCAAGUUCGAUGGUUUCCUGAUAAACAAGGGGAGUUCUCUGUUUCUGAUACCUGGAAUCACCUGCGAGUGAAAGCAGAAAAAGGUUGAUUGGUGUGGUGCUAUCUGGUUUAAUGCAUGUAUCAGAAAUAUAGCUUCAUAUUGUGACUCGCCAUUCUGAACAAACUAGCAACUGGAGACCAAAUUGUUGGUUAGGGAACUGGCUCUGACAAAGCGGUUGUUGAGUGGCAUGCUGAGUUGCAGUAGAUCGUCACCUCUUAGAAGGGUAAAGCUCUUGAUAAGGCCAAAGGUAAGCAGCUCGGAUAGGCUUUGAAAGGCAGAGUAUUGAUAAUAGUCACUGGGAUUGAAUAAAAUUGGGGAGUGCAAGGCAAUGCAU